This 467-nucleotide ribosomal RNA is filed under the name uncultured bacterium. RNAcentral describes it as "partial 16S ribosomal RNA". It matches the Rfam family "Bacterial small subunit ribosomal RNA", at positions 28 to 507 of the family's 1533-position model. The record is from RNAcentral.
GAUGAACGCUGACAGAAUGCUUAACACAUGCAAGUCAACUUGAAUUUGGGUUUUUAACUUAGGUUUGGGUGGCGGACGGGUGAGUAACGCGUAAAGAACUUGCCUCACAGCUAGGGACAACAUUUGGAAACGAAUGCUAAUACCUAAUAUUAUGAUAAUAGGGCAUCCUAUAAUUAUGAAAGCUAUAAGCGCUGUGAGAGAGCUUUGCGUCCCAUUAGCUAGUUGGAGAGGUAACGGCUCACCAAGGCGAUGAUGGGUAGCCGGCCUGAGAGGGUGAUCGGCCACGAGGGGACUGAGACACGGCCCUUACUCCGACGGGAGGCAGCAGUGGGGAAUAUUGGACAAUGGACCGAGAGUCUGAUCCAGCAAUUCUGUGUGCACGAUGAAGUUUUUCGGAAUGUAAAGUGCUUUCAGUUGGGAAGAAACAAAUGACGGUACCAACAGAAGAAGUGACGGCUAAAUACGUG